ACAAGAGUUACCACAGAUGCCAAGCGACCAAUCAAAGGAGAGAAAGAAAAACGUUCACGCUACGCUACCAAUAUUUUGAAUGGUUAUUUGGAGUAAAACAUAGGACAAACAAUCUGAAAGAACGCUCUGAUGUUUAUAUGCAGUUAACGUUAUUUAUGGAAACAGCAGGUUGAAGAGUCUAUUUUACACAAACACCCUGUUGGCGUAUCUAAAGGCUUUUGCAUCGUUACAGAAAACUUUAUCGUUAACUUGCCUGGAUUCUCAGCUGACGACCAACGAACGCGUUCAAGAUGGCGGCGAGGUUUUCACGAGGACAGACGAAACACUGGAACGGAUUACUACAGGAUUCUCAUCAGAACGGCGUUACAUCUGCCCUCUACCUCCAUUACUUCCAUAGAGCAUUGUACUUUCCUCUCCGACUGAAGGACAUUACAGGAGUAAAGGUUGCCAGGAAAAAUAAAGCUGUCGGCUGAAUUUGGAAUGUUGGAAAAUGAAUCGACUGCCAGCAAACAAAGAGAUGUAGUCAACCGUUUGCAUUGAGUGCUGCGAUUGGUUGGAGGGACAACCUUGUAGCAGAGCACCUAAACAACCAGCACACUCCAGUAGGACCUUGAUUAGUUCACAAGUGCCAGUUGUGUAUUAAACCUGCAGUGCUUGCCUGCUGUGUCUGAUAACAUGACUAAACGGGAAUGUCAAUUGUAGAGAACAUAUUUAAUUUGAACACAUAGGAACACAAAAAUAUUGUAGCAAAUGACUAAUGGAUGCCUGUACACAUUUUCAGUAGUGUUUAUUUGUUACUUGAUUACAUUUGUUUUAGUCCUGACUUGCUAUGCAUUAACAACAGCUAUGUUUACAUACAGUAUAAUUAGAUUGAUGGUUCAGAUUUAAAAGCAUUCAUGUAAACAUCUUCAUUGAUCAGAUUGAACUUAAUCCGAAUGAAAUUUCAAUUGUAUUGAAAGCUAUUGGACUUGUUUUCUUUUUCUGAGCUGUUUCAGCAGUUAAAAAAGACCUUAAUCACUUUCUCAAUCAUAUUCAGAAGUAACCAGGACACAUGCAAAGUGCAAUGUAAUUUAGACAGGCAUUAACCUGAGCAUAUUUCGAUAAGUGCAUGAUAAAUCAUGUAAAAUCAUUGGCUGCAUAUUUUUAUUAGACUUCUUAAUGAUUUUUAAAAAUUAUUUAUUUCAAAAAACGAGCCAUAAACUAAAUAAUUACACAUUAGCCAUAUAGAUAAUUUAUUUAGAAUAAAAAAAUGCAGUAGAAGUAAAAUAUUAGAAUUAACACACAGCAGACACUGGAAAAAAAUACCAUUUUAUUCAAAUGUAUUUCUAUUUUCAGACACUAUAAACUACAAUAAAACAUACAAAAACAUUUGUAUAUACUUAUUU
Molecule: long non-coding RNA, 1385 nt
Filed under: Danio rerio (zebrafish)
Lineage: Eukaryota; Metazoa; Chordata; Actinopteri; Cypriniformes; Danionidae
Description: lncRNA si:dkey-15b23.1 (ENSDARG00000099543.2)
Source: RNAcentral